Long non-coding RNA from Parus major (Great Tit), 794 nucleotides. RefSeq lists it as uncharacterized. Lineage: Eukaryota; Metazoa; Chordata; Aves; Passeriformes; Paridae. The transcript is spliced from 4 exons. The record is from RefSeq and is a predicted model, not a curated record.
CGGCCGGCCGCGCGCUCCCUCAGCCUCGGCUGUGCACCAGCUCCGGCCGGGCCUCCGGGCGCUGCCAGCGCGGGCGCUUGGUGUGCACGCCUGCAGUGAGUGCUCCUUCGUGGGGGAGAGGAUCAGCAGUGUUUAUUUCAGUAGAUCAGAUUGCCGCCCGUGUUUCAGCGGUGCUUUUUUGCGUUCAUUUGUGUUGGUCAAAGCCUUGAUUCUUCUGCUUGCAGCAGGGUUGUUUUUAAAUCAGACUACAGGGCUUGUCAGAGCACUCUAUGGGGAUUGCAAAAUUCUCUGCCUUGUUGCAGGAGACAGUUUGUCCUGACUGAAUUCCCAAUGACGUGAAAAGACUGACCAAGUCCAGGCAUUUGAACCAAUUAUUAACUUCAAAUGAUGAGUGCUCAGCUACCUGACAGAUUCCAGUUUGGAAAAAUCCAUCUUUCCAGGAGUGAUGGAGCAGAUGUGUCUACUUUAGCAAUGGGCAGCCUAGAAGAUGGACAUUUGACAGGCGACAAUAGACUGCUCCUUUCCCAGAUUACACAAACCUAACAAUUCUCCUUGUGAUGUCUCUUAAGGAUUCUAUGGAAGAAGGCUUCUGACAGUUCCUCUGGUAAUGACUGUUACUUCCCUAUAUAUGACAAGAGUUUUAUGUGUGUGUAAUUCUCCUUGAUUAUUCUAAAAAAAUAAAUGUGUCUAGGAUAAUUUUGUAUAUCACCUACUAUGAAAAUUGCUUUUGUGGCAAGCAAAAUCAACUGCUCCAUGACCUACACUUCUUGAUAUUAAAGGUUAUAUGAAACUUA